RNAcentral lists this ribosomal RNA (404 nucleotides) under Actinomycetes bacterium. RNAcentral describes it as "Actinobacteria bacterium partial 16S ribosomal RNA". It matches the Rfam family "Bacterial small subunit ribosomal RNA", at positions 355 to 776 of the family's 1533-position model. The record is from RNAcentral. Lineage: Bacteria; Bacillati; Actinomycetota; Actinomycetes.
UGGGGAAUAUUGGACAAUGGGCGCAAGCCUGAUCCAGCCAUGCCGCGUGAGUGAUGAAGGCCCUAGGGUUGUAAAGCUCUUUCACAGGUGAAGAUAAUGACGGUAACCGGAGAAGAAGCCCCGGCUAACUUCGUGCCAGCAGCCGCGGUAAUACGAAGGGGGCUAGCGUUGUUCGGAUUUACUGGGCGUAAAGCGCACGUAGGCGGACUUUUAAGUCAGGGGUGAAAUCCCGGGGCUCAACCCCGGAACUGCCUUUGAUACUGGAAGUCUUGAGUAUGGUAGUGGUGAGUGGAAUUCCGUGUAUAGAGGUGAAAUUCGUAGAUAUUCAGAGGAACACCAGUUGCGAAGGCGGCUCACUGGACCAUUACUGACUCUGAGGUGCGAAAGCGUGGGGAGCAAACAGG